Molecule: ribosomal RNA, 253 nt
Filed under: uncultured bacterium
Lineage: Bacteria
Description: partial 16S ribosomal RNA
Rfam family: Bacterial small subunit ribosomal RNA
Source: RNAcentral
UACGGAGGAUGCAAGCGUUAUCCGGAAUGAUUGGGCGUAAAGCGUCCGCAGGUGGCAAUGUAAGUCUGCUGUUAAAGAGUCUAGCUCAACUAGAUACAAGCAGUGGAAACUACAUAGCUAGAGUACGUUCGGGGCAGAGGGAAUCCCUGGUGUAGCGGUGAAAUGCGUAGAGAUCAGGAAGAGCACCGGUGGCGAAGGCGCUCUGCUAGGCCGUAACUGACACUGAGGGACGAAAGCUAGGGGAGCGAAUGGG